This 909-nucleotide ribosomal RNA is filed under the name uncultured Actinomycetes bacterium. RNAcentral describes it as "bacterial SSU rRNA". It matches the Rfam family "Bacterial small subunit ribosomal RNA", at positions 8 to 921 of the family's 1533-position model. The record is from RNAcentral. Lineage: Bacteria; Bacillati; Actinomycetota; Actinomycetes.
AGAGUUUGAUCCUGGCUCAGGACGAACGUUGGCGGUGCGCUUAAUGCAUGCAAGUCGAGGGAGAAGCACUUGUUCCGUAAGGUUCAGAUGUGGAAACCGGCGAACGGGUGAGUAACACGUGAGAAACCUGCCCCUUAUAUCGGGAUAGCCCGAGGAAACUCGGAUUAAUACCGGAUACUCUCUUUGGACCACAUGAUCCGUUGAGGAAACAGUCCGCUGCUAGGGGAUGGUCUCGCGGCCUAUCAGGUAGUUGGUGAGGUAACGGCUCACCAAGCCUAAGACGGGUAGCUGGUCUGAGAGGACGAUCAGCCACACUGGAACUGAGACACGGUCCAGACUCCUACGGGAGGCAGCAGCAGGGAAUAUUGCACAAUGGGCGAAAGCCUGAUGCAGCGACACCGCGUGCGGGAUGACGGCCUUAGGGUUGUAAACCGCUUUCAGGAGGGAAGAAAAUGACGGUACCUCCAGAAGAAGCUCCGGCCAACUACGUGCCAGCAGCCGCGGUAAUACGUAGGGAGCAAACGUUGUCCGGAUUUAUUGGGCGUAAAGGGCUCGUAGGCGGUUCAACAAGUCGAUCGUGAAAGCCCGGGGCUCAACCCCGGGAGGCCGGUCGAAACUGUUGUGACUAGAGUUCGGUAGAGGUGAGUGGAAUUCUCGGUGUAGCGGUGGAAUGCGCAGAUAUCGAGAGGAACACCAUUAGCGAAGGCGGCUCACUGGGCCGAUACUGACGCUGAGGAGCGAAAGCGUGGGGAGCAAACAGGAUUAGAAACCCUGGUAGUCCACGCCGUAAACGAUGAACACUAGGUGUGGCGGACUGAUUCAUGUCUGCUGUGCCGUAGCUAACGCAUUAAGUGUUCCGCCUGGGGAGUACGGCCGCAAGGCUAAAACUCAAAGGAAUUGACGGGGCCC